RNAcentral lists this unclassified non-coding RNA (253 nucleotides) under Hevea brasiliensis (rubber tree). The record is from RNAcentral. Lineage: Eukaryota; Viridiplantae; Streptophyta; Magnoliopsida; Malpighiales; Euphorbiaceae.
GAGAGUAACCACUUCCCAAGUAGCAGAGCCAAUUACACCAAUGCCUCCCGGAACCCAAGCACCCCUACACAAUCAAAUCAAAAACAACCCUAAAAUUUACAAGAAACCUAUCCUAUGGAUCCCAGAUUAACAAUUUCAGGAAUAUCCAUAAACUUUGAUGCCCAAAGCAACGGAACCCUUAAAAGCAGACCUAAAAGAAGAGUCUGAAAUUGAAGAAAACCCAACGACCCAGAUUAGAACAAGAAAAAUCUAG